Long non-coding RNA from Brassica napus (rape), 5720 nucleotides. RefSeq lists it as uncharacterized. NCBI's taxonomy places the organism in Eukaryota, Viridiplantae, Streptophyta, Magnoliopsida, Brassicales, Brassicaceae. The transcript has 5 exons. The record is from RefSeq and is a predicted model, not a curated record.
CCUAUACAGAAAACGAAAACUAUAGGUGGUUUGAAUAUUGUACAUCGAUCGAUGCAUGAUGUAAGUUGACUAUAUAAAACUUGAACAUGAUCAUUUCAAACUAAAGUAUAGGUAGGUUUUAUGCAUUUGUUAUAUUGUAGUUAAUAUAUUUUAAAUAUUACAUAAGUCAAGUGAUUCACGUUUUCGUAAAAAUAAAAUUCAAGUUCAUUAUUGGGCCGUACUCGUACGUAAUAAGCUACAUUAAUUAUGAUGUAUUUUUAGGUUCAUUUAAUGACAUUAAAUUUAAAUUUUAUUAAGGAAAACUCAUUAAUUUAACUGGAAAAGACAAUCAUUAAAAUAGGUAGGUUUAUUUAAUGACUUUAAGUUUAAAUUUGAUUAAGGAAAACUCAUUAAUUUAACUGGAAAAGACAAGCAUUAAAAUAAGUAGUUUAAUUUAAUUUUCAGUGGUAUAGAAGUGUAAAUAAGUUAGAAAACUUAAGGGUAUUUUUUAUUGGGUACUUUUAUUUUAAUAAUAUAGAUUUAAGCAUGAAUGACCAUGUAUGUAUUAUAUGAGAUUUAUCGGCCGCCUCGACAUCGGUGUUGUUUAGAGCAACCACGACUGUAUUCGUUGCCACGGGCAGAGCCAUCAUGAGUAAGACAUUUGUCUGGAGGAUUUUUACGAAGGCAUUAAGGUAAAGAGAUUUGUUUUCGGCUGACCCUCUGAUUGCUUCACAAUCACAGCGGAACAAACAUAGCCGUGCCAACCUUUAUGGCUGCCAUAAGCAAUUAGAAAAAAAUUUAUAAAAAUUCUGCAUUAAAAUUUAUAAUACCUAUAAGGCUAUAACCAUAGAGUAGAAAGAUAUAAAUUAAACUAACAAAGAAAAUAUUAAUUAAAAAUAUUAUUUUAUUUUUAAAAAUCAACUUUUUCAAUUGGAUUCAUAGAUAAAAUAAUUAAAUCAGUCAAUGUUUCUUAUGUAAUACAAACAAAUGGUACAGUUUUAUCUGUUUUAUCAUUAAAACAUUUCAAAACCGCUCUAACUAUGUAAUUUUCUAAUAAUCAGCACCUUUUUUUUCAUUUUGUUAUUUUAGUAACUCAAAAUUUUAUCAUACUUCCAAUUUUUCUUUAUGCUAAUUUCCUCUUUCAUCGCAUAAACUUAUGUUUGUUUUAAUAAUUUUAUACCAUUGGUCUAUACCUAAGAUGAGUCUAAGAUGGUGCGCUUAAUUUUUUUUAUAAAAAUCUGCUGUCCUAAGCGCAUGUUUCAUUUGCUCUCACCAAGGCACGGCUCUGGGAACAAAACACCAACAUGCCUUCAUUUUCUAUUCUUAGGGGGAGUAUGAUGGAUCCUUCUUUUUUUUCGUGUAUUAGAUAAAAAAUGGGUUUAUAUAUAGGAAGAAAAUCAGGACGUACAUUAAUGUUAGCUCGUUGUUUAGAGUGUAUACUAAUCUAAGACAAGAUGCUAAAAUAGGAUUCUUUAGGAGACUUUUCCAAGGUUAUGUUGGGUUUUGAUUUCGUUUUUUAUAUAAAAAGGUAUUUACGGUAGGAAAAUUGCCACUAAUACCACUUUUCAACCUUACACUAACCAAUUUUACCAUUAAAAUUUUAAAGGGUAAUGUACCAUUAUACCUUUAUCUAAUCAAACAUAAACAUAUGUCUUCUCCAACAAGAAUUUUCAAAAUCCUCAAAUUGAUCGACGACUCCAGCGAGAGAUUCGACGAUUCCGGCGAGAUUCGACGACUCCGGCGAUUUCCCCGGCGAGAUUUGACGAUUCCGACGACGUUGACGUCUGACGAGAUUUGGCGAAGACUACAAGCUCAAACGAACAAACAAUCUCUCUUCACGAACGCAUAACAAAGGUUAUGAUGAUCGAAUUGUGUUCUAUAUGUGGAGAAUGAAAACUAAUAAAUGGAAUUCACUGGGAUUUCAUAGUCGAUGAUGAAAGGGGAUCUUCUCUUAGUAUGAUUCAUGAAGAUAAGCUACAAUGAUUUGAUUGGGGUUGUUUUAGAAGAUUUUGGAAUUGAUGUCUCACCUUCCAAGUUAAACAGUAUAAAUCUUAGCUAUGUCUCACCAUCAAAGUUAAACUCUGGUUCAAAAGAGCUUCAUCCAGUAUUUAUUAGGAAUGAUCGUCAAGAAGCAUCAUAUAUGAACAAACUUCAAGAGAAUGAAGACUUUCAUCUAUGUGUAACCAUUAAGAGAAGAACUCAAUUAUCAUCAAGGAUUGUGUCAAAUAUGAUUCAGACACGGGAUGAAGUUUUAAUUACUCAUGAUUUGCCUAUUGCUGGAAAUAGUAACCCCCUUGAGGGAUGAACACAAAGACACCCUGAUACUGAAUUGAACGACAUUCAGAGAGUUGAAGAAGUAUUUGGUAUUCAACAUACUCGUAUAAGUGAUGGUCUUGUUAGCAAUAAGAUGUGAUUGCACUCAGUGGGACCUGUUGUAUAUGGAUCUGAAAAGUCAAACAUGAAUCAGACACGAGAUAAAAUUUCCAGUACUUAUGUUUCACACAUUGCUGGAAAUUUUGAGGUACUCUUUAAAACUCUUACCUUAGCGUUUAUAAUUAUAAGGUCUUAUAUAUUGUUUUACAUAUUAGACUUAAUGAAGUACUACACAAAUAGGUUACUUUUGGUAGUAUUUGCACUUAUUGAGCUACAGUUGGUUGUGAUAUACUCAUUAAAACCUCUUCAAUAAUGACUUGAUUUUAUAAUGCUUUAUAAAGGCAAAUAUAUCAAUGUUACUAGGACUCUCUCGAGAGGAUGUGAUUUCGGUUGCAUCAUUGUUCAUCAUAUCAUCCUCAAUGGAUUCUAAAACAAGCAUUUGGAUUAGCUUAUCGAGUUUGCAACUAUCUUCAUCUUGAAAUUUCUCCUUAGCUUUCUCAUACGCUUCAUCUUUUCUUUUCUCUUCAUUCUUUUUAUGCUCUUGUUCCUAAACAUUAUUAUGAUGGCUAUAUAAACAUAUUCAUCAUUCGAUUUUGAUAACACAAUUAGAAAAUAACAUUUAUAAACCAUUAGAAAGAGAGUUAUUUAUCUUAUUUCCUCUUCCUCGUUUCUGCCUUUCAACUUGCACGGGCUCCUCAACUUCUGUAUCAGCUUCCAUUUGUUCUUCUUCUUCCUCACGUGUCUGCCUUUAUUUUCAAGAAAAAAAACAAUAACAAAUUUACGAUGGCUUAUAAUUUUUUAAAAAAUGAUAGUCCAAGUUUAUAAGGGUUUAUAUAUUAGCUUACUUCAUUGAUUUUUGAAGUUUCUCUUUCUUUAUCACCGUCGCCGAAUUCAGCAUCAACUUCCACUUGCUGUUCUUCUUCAUCUUGUGUUUUCUCCUAUUUCAAAAAAAAUGAGAGAUAUAUAAAUGCUUAUAAUAUUAAAAUAACCUAGCAAUUUCAAAUUUGAUAAAGUCUUAUAAAACAUCAAAAACACAAUGACCUUAGAGUUUUGCUGUACAUCUUUGUCUCAUGUCCUGCUUUGUCGACCAAUGUCUUCUGUUGUAAGGAAAACAUCCACAAAUCCUUGUUCCCAAUCGCUUUUCUUCACUUUGUAUCCUUGUUGAACUAGUUGUACAACACUGUCAAAGUUCUUAUCAUCAGGAUGUGUUGGGUUCACCAAAUGUUUUAAUUCCUCAGAGAAUCCAAACUGUGUAGUAACCACACUCUGUAACAAGGAUAAAACAACGUUUUAUAAGUCUAUGUAAAUCUCUUAUUUAUAAACCAUUAUGAAACAAUAUAGUUAACAUAGUAAUUUCAUGUGAAUGGCAUGAGCUAAUGAGGGCAUGACACAGGCAAGGUGUUAAGAGAAGUGAAACAUGCGAGUUCACACACAAAACACAAGCCAAAAAGAAACAGAGCGACCAUUCUCAAUAAUCUAAUGUGAAUGUUAAGGGCUAGUGUAUGAAUGAUGCAAGCAACGUGUUACAGAAAAAGUACAAAAUGAAAAAUAUUCUAAAAUGUCUAAACACUUCACAUUUUUUACCAAGGCGCCUGCUUGUGACCCCUUUUCAAGGAGUAUGUUUAUAAACCUCUUUCUAAACAAUACAGUACGAAUAAAUUUAUAAACUUUAGUAAAAACUCACAUUAUUUUUCUUCUCCACCUCCAACACUUCAGUAAUUCUCGGUGCCCUUGUUAAGUCCCAAUGUAAACAUAACGGAUCUGCAGAAGAGGUUUCCUAGCAUGGUUUUCCCAAAGUUUUACCAAGCAUAGGCACUGAUGACAUAGCCCACAAAUUUAUGGCCAGCACAAAAUUUCUCACUUCAUAACUCUCUCAUGUCCACGAACUUGCACUCAAACGUUGAACACUUUUGGACAAAACUUUAUAAGCAACUUUACCCCAAGCCAACUUCGACAAGCUAUCAUAGUUCUUAUAAGCCAGCAGCCUUCCCUUUGGGAUUAGAAAGCUUGAGUUUUCUGCAAUAAUUACCUUUUCUGUGAUUAUUGCUAUUCCUAUAGAUAGUCUCUCUAGUCUUGUCAUUGUUCUUGCUUUCUUUUUGAGCAGAUCACACAAGCUUCUCACUGUGUACUUGUCCGCUUAGCAUCCAAAGAUAAGGUUUCUUCACUUGUCUGAACAGUGGCUCUGUUUCUGUUUUAUCUUGCUCACAAGCUAACCCUGUUGUCAGAUGAAAUUCUCUCAUUGAAAACCUCAUUGGUUGAUCAGAGAAUGUAAACCAAAGACCUGUUCCUUUCGUCAUUAUUCUUCGCUGCAUGAGAAAAUGAAACAGAUCCUCUGAAAAUUGAACGCUAGUCCUUCUUGCCAGCUUCACAAUGCUUCCAAUGUGUGAGUUCUCUAUCUGUGCAAACUCUUCUUUUCCCAAUAUAUCAGCAACCUUAGAAACAUAAUCCAUGUUUGAAUGUUGGAUGAUCACUUUGUGAUUGUCUGGUGGUUCUGUUCCAGCUCCAUAAAUCCUAGGAGGCAAACUCAAAUUUGGCAAAACUCAUUGCUAUCCAACUGGAAAACAAAAAACAAAAGAAAAAUUAUCAUGUAUAUUACUUUAUAAAACGAUGAUAUGAACUUCUAAUCAUGAACUAUAGAUACUUUAUCCAAGGCAAGCACAAUGUUCAUGUAUUUCCACAAUAUCACAAGUUUUAUACACAUAUACGAUGAAACUGUUGUUUAGAAACUUCUUUAUAGGACCUUAUAAAUAGUUGAGUUGUAUUUAUCAAUAAGAUCAUGAAAUCCAGAUUAAUAAAGGGUUAUAAUAUGACUUCAAAACCAGAUUUAAGUUUUCAAAUACUCAAUGUUUUCACUCUCAACGUUUCACUAUCAAAUCUGUUUCUCUUAGAUCGACCUCUUUAAAUGGGAUAUCUAAGAGAACCUUGUUUGAUUUUUCGAUAAGAGAAAGCACAAAAUCGAAUCAAACAAAAAAAUACAGAAAUUAGAGAACAACAAAAAUACAGAAAUUAGAGACAUACAAGUUGUGAAUCAUGUAUAGGAGUCGACAUCUUGGAGAUUUUGAAUCGAUUUCGUCGCCGAAAGUCGACGGUGAGAGAGAGAUCGACGGUGAGAGAUAGACGCCGGAACUAGACGGUGAGAGAGAUGCCAGAACUCAAGGGAGAGAGAGAGACGACGGUGACUCGACGGUGAGAGAGAGAGACGACGGUGACUCGGGGAGAGGGAGAGAAACCGAUGGUGGAGAAGAAGAUAAGGUAAGGGUAUUAUUGUCUUUUGCUCAUUAAUGAAAGUGAUAUUUCUGAAAAGUUCCUUAGACUGAUGGUAAAGUUGAAAAGUGGUAUCCAACAAAGUGUAAAAGUAAAAUUUUCCC